UCCUGCAGCAUCAUCUCUGAUUUGGGCGCCACAGCCGAAGGGAUGAGCCCCACGUCUCGGUCAGGACGAUGGGAUGAGGAAGCUCCCAGAGUUAAAUUCCAUGAGGACAGGAAGGAUCAGCCUCAGUGGCUGGUGCAGGAGCUGCUGAGACAGAACAGAAGAAGACACACGGUCACGCUCGGAGAUAAGCCGCAAAUCAUCAGGCAGCAGCACCACAGUAUUGAUUUGACUCACAGACUCUGCAGCCUCAAGUUGGAUGAAAUCUCCCUUGACGACCUCCAGAAGCUGAAGCUGGCGUUUGAGGAAUUUGAAGCGGGUGGAUUGAGAUGCAUGGAUGAGAAGAGUUUUGAGCGUGUAGUGAAGACGUGCUUGGGUUUGACUAACUCAAGCAAUGCACACAUUCAAAGCUUAUUUAAGAAGAUUGAUUAUUCAGGCCAAGGAAGGAUUUCAUGGGGUCAGUUCUGCUCCCACAUGCUGCACGAGUACAAACAGAAGGAGGAAAGUAGGAGGCGCAGUAGGCAGGUGGCUCUAGCGCUUCCAGCCACCGUGAAGACGCAGGGCAGCGGCGUUCCCAUCGUCAACAUCCACUCCACGCCUGAUGGCGCCAUAGUAACCAUGAGGGAAGAUGGGGCCAUGUGCUUCUGGAGCCCGGAGCUUAAGCCUCAGAGGACCA
Molecule: long non-coding RNA, 673 nt
Filed under: Betta splendens (Siamese fighting fish)
Lineage: Eukaryota; Metazoa; Chordata; Actinopteri; Anabantiformes; Osphronemidae
Description: lncRNA (ENSBSLG00000013289.1)
Source: RNAcentral